UAUGACUAAGAUAAUAUACAACAAAUUAUCGUUAGUCUUCAACAGGGAAAAAUCUAAUAGAAUACAAUAGACAACAAGUUUUAAAUCAGUAUUCGCAACGGAAAUAAUAAUUCAUUAGAAGAGUUAAGUAGAGAAUGCAAACUACUAUCUUCUAUGUAUGAAUUUAAAAGUUCGUCGUCUAUCUUUUAUCCCUGUAACAUCAAUCAAUAUAUAUCUGGAA
This 220-nucleotide long non-coding RNA is filed under the name Panax ginseng (ginseng). Its description in RNAcentral is "long non-coding RNA (PGIN_LNC017076)". The record is from RNAcentral. Lineage: Eukaryota; Viridiplantae; Streptophyta; Magnoliopsida; Apiales; Araliaceae.